GGUGCAGGAAGGGGCACAAACACUUCAGCAGUGAUUCAGCGAGCACUGCUGUGAGAAAUCACUCUGUACCUUUGGGAGUUCAUCCUGAACUGCUUCCCCGGGCAGCGGAGGAGCCGGGAACUCCUCAGUUCAUCGAUCAAAGCACUUGCAAUUCAAAGUAGGUGAAGCCCUGAAAGAAUACCAAGCAGUGAGAGAUCAUUUCUCUGGUGUGUGCAGGUGCUUUCUUGCAGCC
This is a long non-coding RNA of Strigops habroptila (Kakapo), 232 nucleotides long. RefSeq lists it as uncharacterized. Lineage: Eukaryota; Metazoa; Chordata; Aves; Psittaciformes; Psittacidae. The transcript has 3 exons. The record is from RefSeq and is a predicted model, not a curated record.